Molecule: ribosomal RNA, 378 nt
Filed under: uncultured organism
Description: partial 16S ribosomal RNA
Rfam family: Bacterial small subunit ribosomal RNA
Source: RNAcentral
GUAGGUGGCAAGCGUUGUCCGGGAAUUAUUGGGGGCGUAAAGCGCAACGCAGGCGGUUCUUUAAGUCUGAUGUGAAAGCCCACGGGCUCAACCGUGGAGGGUCAUUGGAAACUGGAGAACUUGAGUACAGAAGAGGAAAGCGGAAUUCCACGUGUAGCGGUGAAAUGCGUAGAGAUGUGGAGGAACACCAGUGGCGAAGGCGGCUUUCUGGUCUGUAACUGACGCUGAGGCGCGAAAGCGUGGGGAGCAAACAGGAUUAGAUACCCUGGUAGUCCACGCCGUAAACGAUGAGUGCUAAGUGUUAGGGGGUUUCCGCCCCUUAGUGCUGCAGCUAACGCAUUAAGCACUCCGCCUGGGGAGUACGGCCGCAAAGGCUGA